AUGGUAACGGCGGUGGCAGCCGUGCUGGAGCCUCCGUCACGGUCGCCGCUGCGGCGGCGGCACCGGCUGGCGAACGGGGCGGGUGCUACCACCGGCGACUUCGAGCUCCGGCACUGGCGCCCGGCCAAGAAGAGUAGUUCGUCCGGGAUGAAGGGGCGGUGGGUGCCGCCGGAGAUCGAGAUCCCCAGCGGCGAGGAGGGGGGAUACACCAGCCUCCGCGACAUCAUGUCGUCGCCCGAGUACGCCGCGGCCAAGCAGGCUCACUCCCCCGCGGACGGGGGCGGGGACGUGCACAUGAUACGCCACCCGCUCGUGAAGCACGCGGCGUACGCGUACCUGCAGCUCACGCCAUCCGCGCGGGAGGACCCCGGCAGGUUGUGCCGGCGGAGGCGCGGCCGGCUUUGCCGCCUUGUCCUCGGCUGUCUCGGCUUUGUCGGGGCGUUCUUCACGCGGUGA
Molecule: ribosomal RNA, 456 nt
Filed under: Triticum aestivum (bread wheat)
Lineage: Eukaryota; Viridiplantae; Streptophyta; Magnoliopsida; Poales; Poaceae
Description: partial small subunit ribosomal RNA
Source: RNAcentral